AUACGGAGGGUGCAAGCGUUAUCCGGAUUUAUUAGGUUUAAAGGGUCCGUAGGCGGAAAAUUAAGUCAGUGGUGAAAGCCCAUAGCUCAACUAUGGAACUGCCAUUGAUACUGAUUUUCUUGAAUAUGAUUGAGGUGGGCGGAAUAUGUCAUGUAGCGGUGAAAUGCUUAGAUAUGACAUAGAACACCGAUAGCGAAGGCAGCUCACUAAGCCAUCAUUGACGCUGAGGGACGAAAGCGUGGGGAGCGAACAGGAUUAGAAACCCUAGUAGUCC
RNAcentral lists this ribosomal RNA (274 nucleotides) under uncultured bacterium. RNAcentral describes it as "partial 16S ribosomal RNA". It matches the Rfam family "Bacterial small subunit ribosomal RNA", at positions 523 to 796 of the family's 1533-position model. The record is from RNAcentral.